UCCUACGGGAGGCAGCAGUGAGGAAUAUUGGUCAAUGGAGGCAACUCUGAACCAGCCAUGCCGCGUGAAGGAUGACGGCCCUAUGGGUUGUAAACUUCUUUUAUAGAGGAAGAAACUUGUCUACGUGUAGACAACUGACGGUACUAUACGAAUAAGGAUCGGCUAACUCCGUGCCAGCAGCCGCGGUAAUACGGAGGAUCCAAGCGUUAUCCGGAUUCAUUGGGUUUAAAGGGUCCGUAGGCGGGUCUUUAAGUCAGUGGUGAAAGCCGACAGCUUAACUGUCGAACUGCCAUUGAUACUGGAGACCUUGAGUACAAAUGAAGUAGGCGGAAUGAGUCAUGUAGCGGUGAAAUGCAUAGAUAUGACUCAGAACACCGAUUGCGAAGGCAGCUUACUAACAUGUAACUGACGCUGAGGGACGAAAGCGUGGGGAGCGAACAGGAUUAGAUACCCUGGUAGUCCACGCCGUAAACGAUCAUCACUCGCUGUUGGCGAUAUACUGUCAGCGGCCAAGCGAAAGUA
RNAcentral lists this ribosomal RNA (522 nucleotides) under uncultured bacterium. RNAcentral's name for it is "bacterial SSU rRNA". It matches the Rfam family "Bacterial small subunit ribosomal RNA", at positions 337 to 859 of the family's 1533-position model. The record is from RNAcentral.